This 442-nucleotide ribosomal RNA is filed under the name uncultured bacterium. Its description in RNAcentral is "partial 16S ribosomal RNA". It matches the Rfam family "Bacterial small subunit ribosomal RNA", at positions 339 to 795 of the family's 1533-position model. The record is from RNAcentral.
CUACGGGGUGCUCCAGUGGGGAAUAUUGGGCAAUGGGCGAAAGCCUGACCCAGCAACGCCGCGUGAUUGAAGAAGGUCUUCGGAUUGUAAAAAUCUGUCCUUGGGGACGAAAAAAAUGACGGUACCCAAGGAGGGAGCCCCGGCUAGCUACGUGCCAGCAGCUGCGGUAAUACGUAGGGGGCGAGCGUUGUCCGGAAUUACUGGGCGUAAAGGGUGCGCAGGCGGCGCUUUAAGUCAGAUGUGAAAUACCCAGGCUUAACCUGGGGGGUGCAUUUGAAACUGGAGUGCUUGAGUGCAGGAGAGGAAAGUGGAAUUCCUAGUGUAGCGGUGAAAUGCGUAGAUAUUAGGAGGAACACCAGUGGCGAAGGCGACUUUCUGGACUGUAACUGACGCUGAGGCACGAAAGCGUGGGGAGCAAACAGGAUUAGAUACCCGGGUAGUC